RNAcentral lists this long non-coding RNA (1372 nucleotides) under Nothobranchius furzeri (turquoise killifish). Its description in RNAcentral is "lncRNA (ENSNFUG00015014381.1)". The record is from RNAcentral. Lineage: Eukaryota; Metazoa; Chordata; Actinopteri; Cyprinodontiformes; Nothobranchiidae.
CCCCCCCCAUCUUUUGUCUCUUCCUUUCUCUUUCACCUCUGUUUCCAUGUCUGGUCAGAAUUAAAAAGCAUACAAUAACAAUAAAUUUUUAAGUAUCAGACAUGACAUUAAAAGCAGACGCUUUGAUGCUCCACCUGAGAGUAAAUCUGUAAGGCUUGUCACCAGCAUUCAGACAUCAAUUCUGUUUGCUUCACAGCCAGACAGGACACACACACACACACAAAAAAAAAAAACGUGCAAUUUAUAUGUUUCCAUGGCGAUGGCGGAAGUCUGUUUCAGCUCUUGUUUCUCCACAUAUUUUAUUAAAAAUUUCAUCAUUUAUGUGUCGUUUUCAUGUUCUGCUCCAAAGUCUGGAUGUUUAGAGACUAGAGGACUUUUGUUUUUCCUGAACAGCUGUGAGUUUUAAGAAUGUACGUUUGUGGUGGCCUCCUCCUCCUGUUUGCCUCUUUGAUGGCAGUCUCGGCUACCGGGUUCGGCGCAUGCUGGACGUUCGCCCCCGGGGUCGUGGUCACCAGUAUCUGGUAGACUGGGAGGGGUAUGGUCCCGAGCAUCGCCAAUGGAUCCCGGGGUCAUGGAUUGAUGAUGUCUCCCUCAUAAGGGACUUCGAGUCCUCCUCCUCUGCUCGGCCGCCAGGUGGCUUCCUUUGAGGUGGGGGUACUGUCAUGGUUCUGCCUUUUUCUCUGCUGGCUAUGGUCCUAAGUGUUUUGCAGGUGGGCGUGUCGGAGAGUCACAGCUGCAGCUUAUUACCAUCAGCAGGGCCAGAGGAUUUAAGGAGCGGUGUUGCCACACUUCAGCGCCGGUUGAUACUCUAUUGCUGGUACCAACCCUGGAUUUUAGCCUCGGUUCCUGUCUGCCUGAAGUGUGCCAUACUCUCAACGUCGCUCAGCUCCUCUGGCCUUCCGCUCUCCACCGCUCACCUGUCCUGGAUCGUACACUUCUACCUGCUACUCCUCUCCCCCAGACAAUCUCCAGGUCAGACCUGACUUGCCUCCCUCUCCUGCCCAAACCCCUGGUCCGUACCGUAAGACUCCUCCACCAUUAUCCUGCUGUGUUUACUUUUCCUGGUUCUCAUUUUACUGUAUUCAUCUCGUUAUCUUUUGUUUUAGAAUCAGAGUUGACCCCCCUGGCCCAGUUAGGAUCAGUGCCCUUCGUUCUCGUUAAUUUUCUUUAUAAUAAAACCUUUGUAUUUUUACUUACCUCUCUCUCCGUGUGUGAUUCUUUCAUGUGGGUAAAAAGACUACAACCCAGCAUGACAUUAUCAGGAUUAGUGCAUUCAUCACAUCUGCUUUCUGCAGAUCAUAUGGUCCUGUUCGCUUCAUCAGAACAUGAUCUCCGGUGUAAGGAAAAUGAGAGGUUCUUACAUUUUAUUUAA